RNAcentral lists this ribosomal RNA (433 nucleotides) under uncultured bacterium. RNAcentral describes it as "partial 16S ribosomal RNA". It matches the Rfam family "Bacterial small subunit ribosomal RNA", at positions 29 to 507 of the family's 1533-position model. The record is from RNAcentral.
AACGAACGCUGGCGGCAUGCCUAACACAUGCAAGUCGAACGGGACCUUCGGGUCUAGUGGCGCACGGGUGCGUAACGCGUGGGAACCUGCCCUUAGGUUCGGAAUAACUCCCCGAAAGGGGUGCUAAUACCGGAUAAUGUCUUCGGACCAAAGAUUUAUCGCCUUUGGAUGGGCCCGCGUUGGAUUAGCUAGUUGGUAGGGUAAAAGCCUACCAAGGCGACGAUCCAUAGCUGGUCUGAGAGGAUGAUCAGCCACACUGGGACUGAGCCACGGCCCAGACUCCUACGGGAGGCAGCAGUGGGGAAUAUUGGACAAUCGCCGAAAGCCUGAUCCAGCAAUGCCGCGUGAGUGAUGAAGUCCUUAGGGUUGUAAAGCUCUUUUACCCGGGAUGAUAAUGACAGUACCGGGAGAAUAAGCUCCGGCUAACUCCGUG